Cinara cedri is the source of this 744-nucleotide non-coding RNA. Lineage: Eukaryota; Metazoa; Arthropoda; Insecta; Hemiptera; Aphididae. The record is from the annotation of a GenBank genome assembly.
GUUUUGUAACUAUAACAACACUAUUAAACGGCGUGUUUUUCAAACUUCGAUAAUACAACAUCAGUGUAUAUAAUACACCUAUAAUACCUAUGCGAUAAUAAUAAUAAUAAUAAUAAUAACCGUUAACGGUACACGGAUAAUAAUAUCGAAAAGUUUUCGAUUGUCCGUAAGUCAUUAUUUACGCGAGCGAGUUACGUUUUUUUUUUUUUUUUAUAUUAAUCUGGCGUACGAUUUCGAAUUACCGGCUUCGUAUACGUUAUUUGCACAGAUUACUGGACACAGACGAGCAGGGCCGGACGCUAGGGGUGGUGGGGACGCCCUCCCCCUCUCCAUUAGUGAGAAAAAUCAAUUUCUAGUCAACAGAUAGUAAUAAUUAUAAAAAAAAUUACUGAGUAGACGGAAAUUUUAUAUUUACAGGAAAAUAAAUAAAAUCAUUUUAGUCUUGUAAGUAAUGAUAAGUAUACAAAUUCGUAUGGUUACUCCUCCCCCCCCCAUCGAUAAUUUCUAGUGUCGGCCCUGCGGACGAGUGCAAUUACAAUUGAUUGGGCCAGGCACGCAUAAUAAUAACGUGCAGGGUACCCAUACAGUUUCGAUAAAAAUCGGUAAGUACGUUCGUACAUUAUUUUAUAAUAUCGUUAAAGCGUAUUUGCAAAACGGCAUUUUAUAAACAAGACGAAUAAUUCGGAUCGCAUUGAUAAUCCGAAGACGGCAGUGGCUUUUUUAAGAAGGGGCAUCGACAUAGUU